Molecule: small RNA, 91 nt
Filed under: Pedobacter psychrophilus
Lineage: Bacteria; Pseudomonadati; Bacteroidota; Sphingobacteriia; Sphingobacteriales; Sphingobacteriaceae
Description: Pedobacter sp. CCM 8644 Flavo-1 RNA
Rfam family: Flavo-1 RNA
Source: Rfam by way of RNAcentral
UGCGAGCGUUAACGAUAGGAACGGCAUCCUUUUUUUGCUCCUGCCAUAAAGCAAAUGGCAAAAAAAGAUAUAGUGAAUAGCGUGUUAAAAC